This is a long non-coding RNA of Thalassophryne amazonica, 401 nucleotides long. RefSeq lists it as uncharacterized. The transcript has 2 exons. The record is from RefSeq and is a predicted model, not a curated record. Lineage: Eukaryota; Metazoa; Chordata; Actinopteri; Batrachoidiformes; Batrachoididae.
UCACUUCCCACCACACACACACACACACACACACACACACACACACACACACACACACACACACACACUCAGAUGCAAACUCACAUUAACGCUGCUGCACAAUAAAACUUCUUCAUCUGCACUGUGUUCUGCCUCACAUUGGUGUUAACACUUCAUUUAAGAUCAUUUAAACAACUCACACAAACGUGUACUCCUGUGUGUCUCUCUGUUUCUUCCUCACGCUCUUCUCACACACAAGUCACACGUGCCAGUGUGCAGAUGGAAGCAGACUGCGCAACAGUCACAUACAUGGCACAGAUGCAUCAUUUCGCUGCAUCGUGCCAACUUCCUCAGAGCCAACAUUUUUCUCUCCCUUGUGUGUCUUGAGUGAGCAAUGUUACCGAUGUAGAUUGUUGUAAUAA